AUUGAACGCUGGCGGCAGGCCUAACACAUGCAAGUCGAGCGGAUGAAGGGAACUUGCUCCUGGACUCAGCGGCGGACGGGUGAGUAAUGCCUAGGAAUCUGCCUGGUAGUGGGGGAUAACGUCCGGAAACGGGCGCUAAUACCGCAUACGUCCUGAGGGAGAAAGUGGGGGAUCUUCGGACCUCACGCUAUCAGAUGAGCCUAGGUCGGAUUAGCUAGUUGGUGGGGUAAAGGCCUACCAAGGCGACGAUCCGUAACUGGUCUGAGAGGAUGAUCAGUCACACUGGAACUGAGACACGGUCCAGACUCCUACGGGAGGCAGCAGUGGGGAAUAUUGGACAAUGGGCGAAAGCCUGAUCCAGCCAUGCCGCGUGUGUGAAGAAGGUCUUCGGACUGUAAAGCACUUUAAGUUGGGAGGAAGGGCAGUAAGUUAAUACCUUGCUGUUUUGACGUUACCAACAGAAUAAGCACCGGCUAACUUCGU
RNAcentral lists this ribosomal RNA (483 nucleotides) under uncultured bacterium. RNAcentral's name for it is "partial 16S ribosomal RNA". It matches the Rfam family "Bacterial small subunit ribosomal RNA", at positions 30 to 506 of the family's 1533-position model. The record is from RNAcentral.